Sinocyclocheilus anshuiensis is the source of this 319-nucleotide long non-coding RNA. The record is from Ensembl. NCBI's taxonomy places the organism in Eukaryota, Metazoa, Chordata, Actinopteri, Cypriniformes, Cyprinidae.
GAUUCAAUAAGGAUCUACAAUUCUAUAAAAAGGAAUGACAUGGAGAUUCUAAGAGAGGCUUUCCAAAAACAUGGGUCACUGGACGGCUGGACUGUUUGGAAUCCAGAACAGUGGAAGCAAGACUGUGUGAACUGUGGGGUAUUUGUGUGCACUGCAGCAGAAAUGGAAGCAAAAAAUAUGAAAAUGUCAUCUGAAGUGCUUCAAACAUGUCAGCUAGUACACCUAUGUGUUUACCAUGCCACAAGCAUGUUGAAAGAUGUGACAACUGAAGACUUUCCGACUGCAAUUGGAGAAACAGAGGAAAGCGAAAUAGAGACCA